RNAcentral lists this small nuclear RNA (103 nucleotides) under Eucalyptus grandis. Lineage: Eukaryota; Viridiplantae; Streptophyta; Magnoliopsida; Myrtales; Myrtaceae. The record is from RNAcentral.
GUCUCUUCGGAGACAUUCGAUAAAAUUGGAACGAUAUAGAGAAGAUUAGCAUGGCUCUUGCGCAAGAAUGACACCCACAAAUUGAGAAAUGGUCCAAAUUUUU